This 576-nucleotide ribosomal RNA is filed under the name uncultured Cantharellales. RNAcentral describes it as "eukaryotic LSU rRNA". The stretch from base 168 to 321 matches the Rfam family "5.8S ribosomal RNA". Lineage: Eukaryota; Fungi; Basidiomycota; Agaricomycetes; Cantharellales. The record is from RNAcentral.
UGAAUUCAAGAGAGUUGAUGCUGGCGGUCUUGUGGCUGCAUGUGCUCGCUCUCCUAAUCCAAUUUACACCUGUGCACUUAACUUUGAAGGGAGGGUAAAACCUGCCUUCGAAAUCUUUAAACUCUUAUAUAACGAAUGUUUAUCUGCCGCAAGGCAAAAUUUAAUACAACUUUUAACAACGGAUCUCUUGGCUCUCGCAUCGAUGAAGAACGCAGCGAAAUGCGAUAAGUAAUGUGAAUUGCAGAAUUCAGUGAAUCAUCGAAUCUUUGAACGCACCUUGCGCUCCCUGGUAUUCCGGGGAGCACGCCUGUUCGAGUGUCAUGAAACUCUCAAGCAAGAUAGAUUUAUUUCUAUCUCUGUUUGGAUAUGGACUCUGCCGCGUCAAUGCGGCUGGUCUUAAAUAUAUUAGCUGGUCCUAGUGAAGGUUUGGUUCUACUCAGCAUGAUAAUUAUCUGAUGUUGAGGACAGUCUUAGGACUGGCCAGGCUCUCUCUGGAUUGCUUCUAAUCGUCUUUGGACAAUUAAUCAAAAUCUGACCUCGAAUCAGGUGGGACUACCCGCUGAACUUAAGCAUAUC